Molecule: non-coding RNA, 487 nt
Organism: Schizosaccharomyces pombe (fission yeast)
Lineage: Eukaryota; Fungi; Ascomycota; Schizosaccharomycetes; Schizosaccharomycetales; Schizosaccharomycetaceae
Source: the annotation of a GenBank genome assembly
CGUUGCUGGCAGGACUUACACGUGCAGCCAAAGAAUUCAAUUGACGACUAGGAUCAAGGAUUAUCUCAACCUUCAUUUUUCUAGUGCCAUCAACCAAACGACCCUCAUACUGUUCAUAAGCUCGAGUGGCAUCACCAGGACGAGAAAAAAUGAUAGUUGCAAUACCUUUCGAACGACCGUUGGGACCGUAAGCCAAGGAAACGCGUUUGCAAGGUCCUAUGGAUUUCACAAAAAGCUCCUUAACUUGAGCCUCGGUAACGUCAGUAGGUAAGUUAGAAACAAUAAUUUUAGAUUCCUCAGAAAUGACGGAUUUAAGGGCAGAGGCAGUGUUCACUGCGGGUUUCGCGUUCUUUGUUGGCUUUGGCUUGUUAGAGCGCGCACGACGCUUUCUAAUACCUCCUUUAGGCUUUGAAGCAAUUAUGGCGUCCAAGGACUGAUCUAAUUCCAUAGACAUUUUUAUCGAGUUACUGUUGGGUAGUUAGUUGUU